UACAGAGGGUGCGAGCGUUAAUCGGAAUUACUGGGCGUAAAGGGUGCGUAGGCGGUUACGUAAGUUAGAUGUGAAAUCCCCGGGCUUAACCUGGGAAUUGCAUUUGAUACUGUGUGACUAGAGUAGAGUAGAGGGAAGUGGAAUUUCCGGUGUAGUGGUGAAAUGCGUAGAUAUCGGAAGGAACACCAGUGGCGAAGGCGGCUACCUGGCCUAAUACUGACACUGAGGCACGAAAGCGUGGGGAGCAAACAGG
RNAcentral lists this ribosomal RNA (253 nucleotides) under uncultured bacterium. RNAcentral describes it as "partial 16S ribosomal RNA". It matches the Rfam family "Bacterial small subunit ribosomal RNA", at positions 524 to 776 of the family's 1533-position model. The record is from RNAcentral.